GUCGUAGUCCGGAUCGCAGUCUGCAACUCGACUGCGUGAAGUCGGAAUCGCUAGUAAUCGUGGAUCAGAAUGUCACGGUGAAUACGUUCCCGGGUCUUGUACACACCGCCCGUCACACCAUGGGAGCGGGUUCUGCCAGAAGUAGUUAGCUUAACCGCAAGGAGGGCGAUUACCACGGCAGGGUUCGUGACUGGGGUGAAGUCGUAACAAGGUAGCCGUAUCGGAAGGUGCGGCUGGAUCACCUCCUUU
This 249-nucleotide non-coding RNA is filed under the name Brugia timori. RNAcentral's name for it is "Bacterial small subunit ribosomal RNA". It matches the Rfam family "Bacterial small subunit ribosomal RNA", at positions 1285 to 1533 of the family's 1533-position model. The record is from Rfam by way of RNAcentral. Lineage: Eukaryota; Metazoa; Nematoda; Chromadorea; Rhabditida; Onchocercidae.